GAUGAACGCUGGCGGCGUGCCUAAUACAUGCAAGUCGAGCGAACAGGCGAGGAGCUUGCUCCUCUGACGUUAGCGGCGGACGGGUGAGUAACACGCGGAUAACCUACCUAUAAGACUGGGAUAACUUCGGGAAACCGGAGCUAAUACCGGAUAAUAUAUUGAACCGCAUGGUUCAAUAGUGAAAGACGGUUUUGCUGUCACUUAUAGAUGGAUCCGCGCCGCAUUAGCUAGUUGGUAAGGUAACGGCUUGCCAAGGCAACGAUGCGUAGCCGACCUGAGAGGGUGAUCGGCCACACUGGAACUGAGACACGGUCCAGACUCCUACGGGAGGCAGCAGUAGGGAAUCUUCCGCAAUGGGCGAAAGCCUGACGGAGCAACGCCGCGUGAGUGAUGAAGGUCUUCGGAUCGUAAAACUCUGUUAUUAGGGAAGAACAAAUGUGUAAGUAACUAUGCACGUCUUGACGGUACCUAAUCAGAAAGCCACGGCUAACUACGUG
RNAcentral lists this ribosomal RNA (497 nucleotides) under uncultured bacterium. RNAcentral's name for it is "partial 16S ribosomal RNA". It matches the Rfam family "Bacterial small subunit ribosomal RNA", at positions 28 to 507 of the family's 1533-position model. The record is from RNAcentral.